UAUAAGCCUGCUCGAUAUUAGGCAUGUGAGCUGCUUCUCAAUCACUUUGAUUGGCCACCCGUAGACUAUUCUGGCGGCAGCAUUUUCAUGUGAUAUAAAUUCCCACGUCCAAUUUAAAUUUUUAGUCAAAAAGAAAGCAUAAUGAUUUUAUAUUUAAAUAUGAGUCAUUUUUGGGUUCAUCUUCUAAGGUGAACCUAGGUUUCAUAUUUCACCUACCAAUAGGAUUUCAUUAUUUCAAAUUCGAUAUCUUUUAAAAAAAGAAACAAAAUAUUCUCAAAUUAUAUUAUGUUUUUAAAAUAAAAAAGUAAAAAAAGAUAAUAGUUACAGAAAAAAGAAUUAAAAAAAAUAUUUUUUUAAUGUUCUCAACAAAACACUAAACCCUAAAUCCUAAUCCCUAAACCCUAAAUCCUAAACCCUAAACCCUUGGAUAAACCCUAAACUCUUGGGUAAACCCUAAACCCUUGGGUAAACGCUAAACCCUUAGAUAAAUCCUAAACUCUAAAUAAAAAUACUAAAACCAUAAACGCUUGAAUAUUUUAGUGUAUAGUGAUUCUGAUUUAGAGUUUAGAAUUUAUCCUAGAGUUUAGGAUUUAUCCUAGAGUUUAGGGUUUAUCCAAGGGUUUAGGGUUUAGGGCUAAGGGUUUAGGGAUUAGAAUUUAGGGUUUAGGGUUUAAUGUUAUGCUGACGACGUAAAAUAUUUUUUUUUGUAAUUAUUACUAUUUUUUUUACCUUUUAAUUUUAAAUAUAUAAUAUAAUUUGAAAAUAUUUUGUUUUCUUUUUUAAAAGAUAUCAAAUAUAAAAUAAAACAAUUCUAUUGGUUGGUGAACCUAGAAGUUCACCCUAGGGAGUGGACCUAAGAAUAAGUCUUUAAAUAUAAAGUGUUUUUUGGUGACAAUAUCGAAGUUUUAUUACCAUUUUC
RNAcentral lists this long non-coding RNA (919 nucleotides) under Brassica rapa (field mustard). RNAcentral describes it as "long non-coding RNA (BRAP_LNC000403)". Lineage: Eukaryota; Viridiplantae; Streptophyta; Magnoliopsida; Brassicales; Brassicaceae. The record is from RNAcentral.